GACGAACGCUGGCGGCGUGCCUAACACAUGCAAGUCGAGCGGAGAAUGCAGAAAUGUUUACAUGGAAGUAUUCUUAGCGGCGGACAGGUGAGUAACACGUGGGUAACCUGCCUCAAAGUGGGGGAUAGCCUUCCGAAAGGAAGAUUAAUACCGCAUAAGCCUACAGUGCCGCAUGGCACAGCAGGAAAAGGAGCAAUCCGCUUUGAGAUGGACCCGCGGCGCAUUAGCUAGUUGGUGAGGUAACGGCUCACCAAGGCGACGAUGCGUAGCCGACCUGAGAGGGUGAUCGGCCACAUUGGAACUGAGACACGGUCCAGACUCCUACGGGAGGCAGCAGUGGGGAAUAUUGCACAAUGGGCGAAAGCCUGAUGCAGCAACGCCGCGUGAGUGAUGAAGGCCUCGGUCGUAAGACUCUUGAUCAGGGAUGAUAAUGACAGUACCUGAAAACAAGACCACGGCUAACUACGUAGCC
RNAcentral lists this ribosomal RNA (472 nucleotides) under uncultured bacterium. RNAcentral describes it as "bacterial SSU rRNA". It matches the Rfam family "Bacterial small subunit ribosomal RNA", at positions 28 to 510 of the family's 1533-position model. The record is from RNAcentral.